GACGGGAGCUGCUCCUUGAUUCAGCGGCGGACGGGUGAGUAAUGCCUAGGAAUAGCCUGGUAGUGGGGGACAACGUUCCGAAAGGAGCGCUAAUACCGCAUACGUCCUACGGGAGAAAGUGGGGGAUCUUCGGACCUCACGCUAUCAGAUGAGCCUAGGUCGGAUUAGCUAGUUGGUGAGGUAAAGGCUCACCAAGGCGACGAUCCGUAACUGGUCUGAGAGGAUGAUCAGUCACACUGGAACUGAGACACGGUCCAGACUCCUACGGGAGGCAGCAGUGGGGAAUAUUGGACAAUGGGCGAAAGCCUGAUCUCAUGUCCAUGCCGCGUGUGUGAAGAAGGUCUUCGGAUUGUAAAGCACUUUAAGUUGGGAGGAAGGGCAGUAAGUUAAUACCUUGCUGUUUUGACGUUACCGACAGAAUAAGCACCGGCUAACUCUGUGCCAGCAGCCGCGGUAAUACAGAGGGUGCAAGCGUUAAUCGGAAUUACUGGGCGUAAAGCGCGCGUAUGUGGUUCGUAAAGUGGGAUGUGAAAGCCCCGGGCUCAACCUGGGACCUGCAUCCAAAACUGGCCAGCUAAAGUAUGGUANAGGUGGUGGAUUUUCUGUGUACCGGUAAUGCGUAAUAUAUGAGGAACCCAUGCUAAGC
This 646-nucleotide ribosomal RNA is filed under the name Pseudomonas sp. 998 IB. RNAcentral's name for it is "bacterial SSU rRNA". It matches the Rfam family "Bacterial small subunit ribosomal RNA", at positions 71 to 716 of the family's 1533-position model. Lineage: Bacteria; Pseudomonadati; Pseudomonadota. The record is from RNAcentral.